This 329-nucleotide ribosomal RNA is filed under the name uncultured eukaryote. RNAcentral describes it as "partial 18S ribosomal RNA". It matches the Rfam family "Eukaryotic small subunit ribosomal RNA", at positions 1470 to 1796 of the family's 1831-position model. The record is from RNAcentral.
CCCUUAGAUGUUCUGGGCCGCACGCGCGCUACACUGACGGAGGCAGCGAGCGUGUCCUUCGCCGGCAGGUGCGGGCAAUCUUGCGAGUCUCCGUCGUGCUGGGGAUAGAUGGUUGCAAUUGUCGAUCUUGAACGAGGAAUUCCUAGUAAGCGCGAGUCAUCAGCUCGCGCUGAUUACGUCCCUGCCCUUUGUACACACCGCCCGUCGCUACUACAGAGUGCCCGUGUCCAAGAAACGGUCGGACCUGUGCGGCCUCUCCGGGCGACCGGAGGGCCGUUACGGGGAAGUCCCUUUAUUUGACGCGGGUCGAUGAAGUAAAAGUCGUAACA